RNAcentral lists this ribosomal RNA (466 nucleotides) under uncultured bacterium. RNAcentral's name for it is "partial 16S ribosomal RNA". It matches the Rfam family "Bacterial small subunit ribosomal RNA", at positions 28 to 507 of the family's 1533-position model. The record is from RNAcentral.
GACGAACGCUGGCGGUGUGCUUAACACAUGCAAGUCGAACGGUAAGGCCCUUUCGGGGGUACACGAGUGGCGAACGGGUGAGUAACACGUGAGUAACCUGCCCUCAUCUCUGGGAUAACAGUCGGAAACGGUUGCUAAUACUGGAUAUGAGCUUGCAAGGCAUCUUGUGGGUUGGAAAGAUUUUUUUGGUUGGGGAUGGACUCGCGGCCUAUCAGCUUGUUGGUGAGGUAGUGGCUCACCAAGGCUUCGACGGGUAGCCGGCCUGAGAGGGCGACCGGCCACAUUGGGACUGAGAUACGGCCCAAACUCCUACGGGAGGCAGCAGUGGGGAAUAUUGCACAAUGGACGGAAGUCUGAUGCAGCAACGCCGCGGGCGGGAUGACGGCCUUCGGGUUGGAAACCGCUUUCAAUUGUGACGAAGCUUUUUGUGACGGUAGCAGUAGAAGAAGCACCGGCUAACUACGUG